CUCUAAUGCUGAACAACUGGGGGAAAGUUCAGUUUAGGGUUGGGGCCCUAAUGCUGACUGAGUGGACAUGAGUUCAGUUCAGGGUUUAAAACCCCAAUACUGACUGGCUGGAAAGAGUUCAGUUCAUUUUUGACUGGCUUAUUAAAGGGAAAGGUUCAGUUUAGGGUUUAAAACCCUAAUGCUGACUGAAUGGAAAAGUUCAGUUUAGGGUUUAAAACCCUAAUGCUGACUAAAGGAAAAAGAUCAGUUUAGGGUUUAAAACCCUAAUGCUGACUAAAGGAAAAGUUCAGUUUAGGG
RNAcentral lists this long non-coding RNA (297 nucleotides) under Nicotiana tabacum (common tobacco). RNAcentral describes it as "long non-coding RNA (NTAB_LNC010871)". Lineage: Eukaryota; Viridiplantae; Streptophyta; Magnoliopsida; Solanales; Solanaceae. The record is from RNAcentral.